Molecule: ribosomal RNA, 384 nt
Filed under: uncultured bacterium
Lineage: Bacteria
Description: bacterial SSU rRNA
Rfam family: Bacterial small subunit ribosomal RNA
Source: RNAcentral
AGCGAACGUUUGCGGCGGGCUUAACACAUGCAAGUCGAACGGGCUGUUCCUUCGGGGGCAGUCAGUGGCGCACGGGUGCGUAACACGUAGGUAAUCAACCCCUGGUUGGGGAGUAACACUUCGAAAGGAGUGCUAAUACCCGGUAUGGCGCAGCGGUCUUCGGAUCGCGGCGAGAAAGACCCGCAAGGGUUGCCAGAGGACGAGCCUGCGGCCCAUCAGCUAGUUGGCGAGGUAACGGCUCACCAAGGCGAAGACGGGUAGCUGGUCUGAGAGGAUGAUCAGCCACACUGGAACUGAGACACGGUCCAGACUCCUACGGGAGGCAGUAGUGGGGAAUAUUGCGCAAUGGGCGAAAGCCUGACGCAGCCACGCCGCGUGAGCGAU